GGAAUUGAACGGGGGGCCGCCCAAACGGUGGAGCAUGUGGUUUAAUUCGAAGCAACGCGAAGAACCUUACCAGGUCUUGACAUGGGCGCUGACCGCCUAGGAGACUAGGCUUUCCCUUCGGGGACAGCGGUGACAGGUGGUGCAUGGUUGUCGUCAGCUCGUGUCGUGAGAUGUUGGGUUAAGUCCCGCAACGAGCGCAACCCUUGAUCUUAGUUGCCAGCAUUCAGUUGGGCACUCUAAGGUGACUGCCGGUGACAAACCGGAGGAAGGUGGGGAUGACGUCAAAUCAUCAUGCCCCUUAUGACCUGGGCUACACACGUGCUACAAUGGACGGUACAAAGGGCUGCAAACCCGCGAGGGGGAGCCAAUCCCAGAAAACCGUUCUCAGUUCGGAUUGCAGGCUGCAACUCGCCUGCAUGAAGCCGGAAUCGCUAGUAAUCGCGGAUCAGCAUGCCGCGGUGAAUACGUUCCCGGGCCUUGUACACACCGCCCGUCACACCACGAGAGUUUGUAACACCCGAAGUCGGUGGGGUAACCCUUACGGGAGCCAGCCGCCGAAGU
This 561-nucleotide ribosomal RNA is filed under the name Planococcus maritimus. RNAcentral describes it as "bacterial SSU rRNA". It matches the Rfam family "Bacterial small subunit ribosomal RNA", at positions 906 to 1462 of the family's 1533-position model. The record is from RNAcentral. Lineage: Bacteria; Bacillati; Bacillota; Bacilli; Caryophanales; Caryophanaceae.